UGGUAAGGGAAGAUUGCCUCAAGUGAGCAA
RNAcentral lists this non-coding RNA (30 nucleotides) under Homo sapiens (human). Lineage: Eukaryota; Metazoa; Chordata; Mammalia; Primates; Hominidae. The record is from RNAcentral.